Molecule: long non-coding RNA, 907 nt
Organism: Caretta caretta (loggerhead turtle)
Lineage: Eukaryota; Metazoa; Chordata; Testudines; Cheloniidae
Source: RefSeq, a predicted model, not a curated record
CCGAUCUGCAACAGGAAGUUAUGAAAUGUACCUUGUACAAUUUCAUCUUCUAAACUCCUAAUGCCCUUUAUUUCAUACAGUAACUUGUUUUUAAAUUAGUAUGGGUUUCAUUUUCAUUGUAAUUUUUAACACUCAGCAACAGAAACAUUUUUUCUCUUAUAAACGAUAAUUAAUCAAAAAGGGAGAAGCUUAUAAUAUUCUUGAUUAGUGGGAAAUUACCUUUACUGUGUAGGGAUUUUAAAAUUCAGCAUACUUAAGCAAAUCACAUUAGGACCUUCAAACGGUUAUCAUCAUCUAGAAUUACAAUAAGACACCUAACCAAUACUGGAUUGCCAGCAGAAUUCUAAUUUCUUCAUUCUUGAGUUUUCCUGUGAGAAUCGUCAUGGCUCUCACCAUUAGUGAAUACCAUCUGUAAAAUCCUCCAUCCAAAAGGAUUUCAAGUCUUCUUAUGCUAAGCCAAAAGAAUGGACAUCAUCCACUUUUCUUCUCCUCUCAUCACAAUAUGAAAAUGAGAUAAUUGGACCUCCUGAAUACUAAGGUACAGGCCCUGUUAUAUGGUGUUCCAUGCACCUUAAAAACCCCUUUGUGUAUCUGUCACCUCUAGAUUCUGAAGCAGAAAACUGGAAAUUAUGUGGCUUAUUUUUCCAUGAACUAAUUUAAUUUAAAAAUACUGGAUGAAACACUGUAUUAAUACUUGAUACGUUACAAUUAAAAAAAAUCUGACAAAAAUAAAUACUUGAUGUUCUCUCUUCCCACUACUUUUCUGUAGGCCUACAAAUGCUCUCCUUUCAUACUGCCAUACCACAGCCUGCAGAAACAUCAUUACUUGAAAGAGGAGACACCUAUUAGAGGUUCUCCAGAAACACACUGCACACAGGAAACAAUAAAGCAUCAUUAUCUCAGCAAU